Molecule: long non-coding RNA, 5370 nt
Filed under: Homo sapiens (human)
Lineage: Eukaryota; Metazoa; Chordata; Mammalia; Primates; Hominidae
Description: HSALNT0203118
Source: RNAcentral
GGAGUCUUAUGAGGUUUACAAGGGUACAACUAGGAAAGGAGAAAGCAUGUUACGGCACCAGGAAAUUAUUAUAGGAGUGAUACCUUGAACUAUUUUGGAAAGAUCUGGGAAAAGAAAUUAAGGUCUCCAAGGAGGAACUGGAGAAUCAAUGAGUGACUGGCCUGGUCACCCUGAGCAGCAAAACACUGAAGUGGGACUACAAAAAAGGAAGUUGGCACAGGGAUAUAUGGAAACUGUUGACUCCGAGGCUCCUCAGCCACAUGUUUAGUGAUGGGCCCAGAGCUGUUGUUGCUCAGCAAGACCAGCAUUUUGGAAGAAGAUGUGAGCACAAAGCUGAGAAGAUCUGGGGAGAGCAAAGGCACACUGGAACCCCUGGUUGGUUACAUCAUGGCCGUCUCUCAUUGCUUCUCACUAUAAUGGCCUCCAGAGAGUGAUAGUUGCUCUUUUGCUUCUGUAAAUUCCUCUUUUGAAAUAUUCUAACCUAGAACCAUAAAGACCAGGGAGGUUGUGGAAUGUCAAUUUGAUCUAAACAAACUGAUGAAGCACAAACCACUCUGCUACAUUUUGAGCUCAUUGGAACUGAACUUGCUUAGGGCCUGGUAUUGCCCUUUGUGUAUUUUCUGACAGAGAAGUAGACAAUCACAUAACAACAAGUGUGGGGAACAGUCUCAUAAAAUAGCUAGGCAUUGUGGCAUUAUUUCAAAUGAGAGACAAUAUACUGUAUGACUGAUUUGCUCAUAGGUAGAAUUAUUUCAUUGAAGGAGUCAAAAGUUUCAAAACAAGCCUAAUAAUAAUACAAAAAGGGAUAAGAAAGAUACAGAAUAAAAAGAAAAGUAUAAACAUAAGCGAAAUAUUAAACUAAAAAAUACAAUUGUUGAAUCGAAGAACAUGUUUGUUGGAAUAAAGUGUGGAAAGGAUGUAUCUGAAGGAUAAAUGUGUGUAUUAGGAGGUAAAUGGAAAUGAAGCCAUGUAAACAGCAUGUUUGUUGCAUCAGCACUAUAAUAUGUUCUAAUAUAAUGGGGAAAGUGUAGAGAAAUGUGUAUCUCAGACUUCAUAUUUCUUUUUUUAAUUGUACAUUAUUAAGGGAUACAGAGUGAAAUUUCAUUAUCUCUAUACAAUGUAUGAUGAUCAAAUCAGGGUAAUUAACAUAUCCAUCACAUCAAACAUUUCUCAUUUCUUUGUGUUGUGAACAUUUGAAAUAUUCUCUUUUAGCUUUUUGAAAAUAUACAAUAAAUUAUAGUUAACCAUAUUCACCCUACAGUGCUGCAGAUCACCAGAACUCAUUCCUCUUGUAUUCCCUACACUCAUUACUCUACUGCUUACCAUCUUCCCCUCCCCUACAAUUCCCAGCCUUUAAGAGCCACAACUCUACUCUCCACUUCCAUGGGCUCAAGUUUUUUGUGUUUUUGUGUGUGUGUGUGUGUGUGUGUGUGUGUUUAAUAUUAGCUCUCAUAUAUGAGUGAGACAUUCAGUAUUUAUUUUUUGUGCCUGAACUAUUUUGCUUAAUAUGAUGUCAUCCAGUUUCACCUAUGUUAUUGCAAAUGACAGAAUUUCAUUCUUUUUAAUGACUGAAUAGUAUUCCAUUGUGUUUGCAUACCACAACUUCUAGCCAUUCACCUGUUGAUGGACGUUUAGGUUAAUGCCAUAUCUUAACUAUUGUGAACAGUGCUCCAAUAAACUUUGGAUAAAUAUCCAGUAGUGGGAUUGCUGGAUCAUGUGGUAGUUCUAUUUUUAGUUUAUUCAGAAACCUCCACACUAUUUUUCAUAAUGGCUGUACUAAAAAACAUUCCCACCAACAGUAUAUAAGGGCUCCAUUUUUUUCACAUCCUUUUCAGCAUCUGUUUUUGUCUUUUUUAUGAUAGCCAUUCUAAUUGGGGUGACAUAAUAUUUUAUAAUGGUUUUAAUUUGCAUUUCCCUGAUGAUUAGUGCUGUUGAGAAUUUUUUGUAUAUUUAUUGGCCAGUUAUAUGUCUUAUUUUGAGGAAUCUUUAUUCAGAUCUUUUUCCUAUUUUAACGGUAUUAUUAUUAUUUGCUCUUGAGUUGUUAUUAGUCCCUUGUUGGAUGAAUAGUUUGCAAGUAUUUUCCCCUAUUCUCCAUGUUGUCUCUUAACUCUGUUGAUUCUUUCACUGUGCAGAAGCUUUUAGUGUAAUAUAGUCCUAUUUGUCUGUUUUGUUUGUAGUCUGUCACUUUGGAGUAAGAUUUCAUAUUUCGUCUAUCUCACCAUUACCUGUGUUUUCACAAAUUAUUAGCAAAUGUGAUUUGUGAGUCUGAUUUAGCAAUCAUGCAGUUUAUAUCUUACAAUCCUUUAAUUAUUCUUUUAUUUAAAAAAUACACCUAUAUAGGUAAACACAUAUGUAAUAUAAAUAACACGCAAAUUUGUAUCACGUUUACAUAUAGAUAUGUAGUACUUUGAUGAACCCUAUGCAUCUAUCAACGACAGUCAGGUGCUUUACACAUGCAACUUGAAAGCCUUGAGAUAUUACUAGAUGAGAAAAGCAAAUUAUAAACCCAUAUAUUUAGUACAUACCAAAUUUUAAGAAUAAGAUAUAUACGGAUAUACUUAGGCAGGUAAGUGUUCCUAUAUAUUUCUGCACUAAAAAAUUAUGGAAGUGGAAAUAUUUUAUUAUAAUGUCUAGUUAUCCAUGUGUCAUGGGUUUGGGAGAAAUAAACUUUUCAUUUUAAAUACUUUAAUAUUAUUUGGAUUUUUAUAUCUAUUUUUAUAGCUAAGGAUAGUUGAUGUACAAACAACAAAGAAGAACAAAAAAUAUAUAAACCUCUGGAUUUAAGAAUCAGAAGAACUGGGUUCAGGCUUUAGCUCUGUGUCUCUCAGAAACAGGAGUGAAUUUAGGUGAGUUGCUGCUUCUAUUUGAAUAUUCAUUAUAAUUUUUUCCUUAAACUUUUUGUUGAGGGUUAACAUAUAUAUGAAAGUGCCUUGCCCACUGCUGUGCAAAUAACAUGUUAAUAUUCCAGAAAUCCUCAUUUCUUUAACAGAUAAGAGGAGGAGGAGGAAUAAUUCCUUUCUUUUGGGUAUUUUUGCUUAAAGUCCUUGUGGGAGUCAGUAGCAUUCCAUGAAACAGAUUUUAAGUAAAAGCAAAUUAGUACAGUGCUAAAGCUAUAACUUUACUUGCCACCCACUAUCAAAUGUUAUUUGUGGAAUACCAUUGUAUAAAGAUUAGCAAGGGAAAAUACAGAUAGGCAGAGCAAUUGAUUUUACAUACUUCUCAAAAAUGAAAACUACAGGUGGAUCUCAAGCUGGCCUAACAUCAUCCAAGAUUUAUCUUACUUUUGGGUGGAUUUGACUUGGUAAGGUGCAUUGCCUGACUACAGAGACUAUUCCCUAUUCUUCCCUCUCUGUCAGCAGACUAUUUGCUAGCAUGUCAAUCAUCAGUUUUGUCAUUGAACGUGGUCUCUACCAGUGGUAAUUAGGAAAGUAAAUUCAACAGUGAAAAUCAGCAAGCAAAACUCAUCAAUCAGCAGCUCUUAAAAAGAGAGAUCACAAUCAUAGCAGCAAAAGCUGGGAGAUCAUGUCCCUCAGGGCAUUAGGAGUUUUAUAUAAAAAUGUACGUGAUGACUUUGCAAUAGGGACACCCACUGUGCAAAGCCCAAUGUGUGGCUCUCAUUUUCAAUUCAGAUAUCGUCAGUCUGAAGUCUUAUAAUAUGAUCACAGUUACAACAGAAAGAUAUUCAAAUCAUAAUGACUGAUGAGCAACAAAACCAAUUUAUUACUAGAUCUGUCUCCCCACACACUCUGAAGAAUUCCUGGGGAUGUUUACAUUUGCUCAUGAAACCAUUUGUAUUGCUAUGCUAAAAAAGCAGAAACUCAGACAUCAGCACUUGCAACCAAUGUUGUAAAUGCUGCCCUCUGGAAGCCCACUGGUGAGGCUGUGUCCAUACCACCCUUGGUACCAUUAGUAAUAUGGAGGUAAGCUUUAAUCUUGAACCAAAAUGAAAAAAGUGCUGUGAUAGCAACUCCAGCAGUCUCCUUUUGUUUAGUACUUCCACAAACAGCAAUGCAGUUUCUGCUAAUGCACCCAAGCCUGGGUGACUCUACUUCACCAAAGAGCUGGUAAACCUUCAGUAUUGAGCCUAGUUUGGGAAACUCCUGAGUACAGGCUUUAAGACCACAAAGAGGCCGAGUUGCAGCAAAUGCAUCUUAGAAUUUACACACAGCCAUUUUCCCAAAGGCAGAGCACUGGUGUACAGGGGAAGGGGAGAUAACAGAGAAAAAGUGGACUGCAUAUUGUGCCCAGGAUCUAUUAUCACUUCAGAUCUCAGUAAAUUUGCAAUGAUUUUCUUACAUUCAAAAUGUCAGAAAGAAUUUAUCUUACUUCUUGCCAGUGGGUCUAAAACUCACAUGCAUGUUUUGAGGUGUAUUCUCAUAAUAGUGAAUAAGUCUCACGAGAUCUGAUGGUUUUAAAAAGAGGAGUUUCCCUGCACAAGCUCUCUUCUCUUGUCUGCCACCAUGUGAGAUAUACCUUUCACCUUCCACCAUGAUUGUGAGGCUUCCCCAGCUACGUGGAACUGUAAGUCCAAUAAACUUCUUUCUUUGGUAAAUUGCCCAGUCCCAGGUAUGUUUUUAUCAGCAGCAUGAAAAUGGUAAAUUGGUACCAGUAGAGUGGGGUGCUGCUGAAAAGAUACCUGAAAAUGUGGAAGUGAUUUUGGAACUGGGUAACAGGCAGAGGUUGGAACAGUUUGGAGUGCACAGAAAAGGACAGGAAAAUGUGGGAAAGGUUGGAACUUCCUAGAGACUUGUUUAAUAGCUUUGUCCAAAAUGCUGAUAGCAAUAUGGACAAUAAAGUCCAGGCGGAGGUGGUCUCAGAUGGAGACAAGGAACUUGUUGAGAACUGGAGGAAAAGGUGACUCUGUUAUUUUUUUAGCAAAGAGACUGGUGGCAUUUUGCCUCUGCCCUAGAGAUUUGUGGAACUUUGAACUUGAGAGAGAUGAUUUAGAGUAUCUGGCACAGGAAAUUUCUAAGCAGCAAAGCAUUCAAGAUGUAACUUGGGUGCUGUUAAAGGCAUUUGGUUUUAAAAGGGAAACAGGCAUAAGAGUUUGGAAAAUUUGCAGCCUGACAAUGCAAUAAAAAAGAAAAUCCCAUUUUCUGAGGAAAAAUUAAAGCUGGCUGCAGAAAUUUGCAUAAAUAAGGAAGAGCCUAAUGUUAGUCACAAAGACAAUGGAAAAAAAUGUCUCCAGUGCAUGUCAGAGACCUUUGAGGCAACCCCUCUCAUCACAUGCCAGGAGGUUUAGGAGGAAAAAAUGGUUUCAUGAGCCAGGCCCAGGGUCCUUGGGCUGUGUGCAGCCUAGGGACUUGGUGCCCUAUGUCCUAGCUGCUCCAGCCAGGGCUGAAAGGGGCCAAUGUAAAGUUUGGGUCAUGG